AACGAACGCUGGCGGCAUGCCUAACACAUGCAAGUCGAACGAACCCUUCGGGGUUAGUGGCGCACGGGUGCGUAACGCGUGGGAAUCUGCCCUUUGCUUCGGAAUAACAGUUAGAAAUGACUGCUAAUACCGGAUGAUGUCUUCGGACCAAAGAUUUAUCGGCAAAGGAUGAGCCCGCGUAGGAUUAGGUAGUUGGUGGGGUAAAGGCCUACCAAGCCGACGAUCCUUAGCUGGUCUGAGAGGAUGAUCAGCCACACUGGGACUGAGACACGGCUCAGACUCCUACGGGAGGCAGCAGUGGGGAAUAUUGGACAAUGGGCGAAAGCCUGAUCCAGCAAUGCCGCGUGAGUGAUGAAGGCCUUAGGGUUGUAAAGCUCUUUUACCAGGGAUGAUAAUGACAGUACCUGGAGAAUAAGCUCCGGCUAACUCCGUGCCAGCAGCCGCGGUAAAGUCUGUACU
This 459-nucleotide ribosomal RNA is filed under the name uncultured bacterium. RNAcentral's name for it is "bacterial SSU rRNA". It matches the Rfam family "Bacterial small subunit ribosomal RNA", at positions 29 to 531 of the family's 1533-position model. The record is from RNAcentral.